RNAcentral lists this ribosomal RNA (429 nucleotides) under Gemmatimonadota bacterium. RNAcentral's name for it is "Gemmatimonadetes bacterium partial 16S ribosomal RNA". It matches the Rfam family "Bacterial small subunit ribosomal RNA", at positions 355 to 776 of the family's 1533-position model. Lineage: Bacteria; Pseudomonadati; Gemmatimonadota. The record is from RNAcentral.
UAGGGAAUCUUCUGCAAUGGACGAAAGUCUGACCGAGCAACGCCGCGUGCGUGAAGAAGGUUUUCGUAUCGUAAAACUCUGUUGUUAGAGAAGAACAAGGACGUUAGUAACUGAACGUCCCCUGACGGUAUCUAACCAGAAAGCCACGGCUAACUACGUGCCAUCAGCCGCGGUAAUACGUAGGUGGCAAGCGUUGUCCGGAUUUAUUGGGCGUAAAGCGAGCGCAGGCGGUUUCUUAAGUCUGAUGUGAAAGCCCCCGGCUAAAACGGGGAGGGUAAGUGGAAACUGGGAGACUUGAGUGCAGAAGAGGAGAGGGGAAUUCCAUGUGUAGCGGGGAAAUGCGGAGAUAUAUGGAGGAACAACAGUGGAGAAGGCGGAUCGCUGGUAUGUAACUGACGAGGAGGAAAGAAAGAGUGGGGAGCAAACAGG